ACGGCUCUCUUCCUCCUUCCCUUCACUCGACUUGGCUCUUUCUCGCUCGUGGGAGUCGUGGAGGAAUGCUCGACGCUGCUACAGAUUGUGACUGCUUGUGUAUGCUGUGGCUCGCGUGGAUGUAUGGCGGAGGAGCUGGUCGGUGCGGAGGGCUCUGUCGAGGGAGGGGAGGUGCCGACGGAUUGCUUGCUGGCGGACUGGGCAUGUCGUUGCGCUCACUGCAAUUCCUCUAUCUCUCAC
RNAcentral lists this unclassified non-coding RNA (240 nucleotides) under Rhodotorula toruloides. The record is from RNAcentral. Lineage: Eukaryota; Fungi; Basidiomycota; Microbotryomycetes; Sporidiobolales; Sporidiobolaceae.